RNAcentral lists this ribosomal RNA (464 nucleotides) under Vreelandella stevensii. RNAcentral describes it as "partial 16S ribosomal RNA". It matches the Rfam family "Bacterial small subunit ribosomal RNA", at positions 339 to 795 of the family's 1533-position model. Lineage: Bacteria; Pseudomonadati; Pseudomonadota; Gammaproteobacteria; Oceanospirillales; Halomonadaceae. The record is from RNAcentral.
CCACGGGGGGCUGCAGUGGGGAAUAUUGGACAAUGGGCGAAAGCCUGAUCCAGCCAUGCCGCGUGUGUGAAGAAGGCCUUCGGGUUGUAAAGCACUUUCAGUGGGGAAGAAAGCCUUGGGGCUAAUACCCUCGAGGAAGGACAUCACCCACAGAAGAAGCACCGGCUAACUCCGUGCCAGCAGCCGCGGUAAUACGGAUGGUGCGAGCGUUAAUCGGAAUUACUGGGCGUAAAGCGCGCGUAGGCGGUCUGAUAAGCCGGUUGUGAAAGCCCCGGGCUCAACCUGGGAACGGCAUCCGGAACUGUCAGGCUAGAGUGCAGGAGAGGAAGGUAGAAUUCCCGGUGUAGCGGUGAAAUGCGUAGAGAUCGGGAGGAAUACCAGUGGCGAAGGCGGCCUUCUGGACUGACACUGACGCUGAGGUGCGAAAGCGUGGGUAGCAAACAGGAUUAGAUACCCUUGUAGUC